Molecule: long non-coding RNA, 2831 nt
Organism: Prosopis cineraria
Lineage: Eukaryota; Viridiplantae; Streptophyta; Magnoliopsida; Fabales; Fabaceae
Exons: 5
Source: RefSeq, a predicted model, not a curated record
GAGAAGAUGAGUUUAGGGACUCAUAUGCUUUUAAAUCUAUAGUUUAAAAGUUAACUUUCUCAUUUAUCCUUAAAAUAAUAACAUCCUAUAACAUUUUAUUUAAUUAUAAUUGAAUUGAAUUGAUGCAAUUUUAUCUGACAAAGUAUAGAUGGUGUAGUACUUCUAGGCCAUGCAAGAAUUUCUUUUAAAUAUAAUAUAAUUUUUAAAUGUAAUAUGUCAAAUAAAAAUAUGAAUCUCAAUUUUUUUUGAAAAAAAAUGGCAAUUAGAAAUAACAAUAUUUUAUAUUGCACUCUAAUUAAUGUCAAGGAUCGUGGAUCAUCCACCAUGCAAAUUGUCAUUAAAGGGCCCCGAUACCUAUUAAUUAAACAUAGGUUGGUCCAAAGCCACUCAACAACUAACUAGCCCUUGAGUGGUAUAAGAUCUCCCUACGUAAAAUUGCCAUUAAUGCAAGAUUUGAGUGAUUACAAUGGUAUUCAAAUCCACACCUAAAUAAAUUGCAACUCUUAUAUGAAUCCUUGCAAUCAGCGGUGGCGGCAAUUUGCAUUAUUUAUGUAAAAUCUAUUACUAGAAGUUGCAUUAUUAGCAUUCAAAUAAAUACUUGUUAGAAAAGAAGAAGAAAAUACAUAUUUUGAUGGUUUUUUAAUAAAAACAGUCUCAAUGACUUGCUAGUCUAGUGGCAUCAAAGCUCUUUUCAGUAGAAAAGGUCUUAAUUUUUUUUUUAGAUGACGAAAGAUUGUGAAUUUGAAUUAGUUAAAGUUAGAUAUAUAAUAACGUGUAUGUUCUGGAGGGGGGGGCUGGGCUUUUCUAUGAAAAAAAAUGUAGGGUGUGUUAGUGUUAAAAAACAAAAACAAAAAUAACAAAACUUAAAACUCAAGCAAGAUAUGAGAUUAAAUCUUGCCAUUAAUAUAAGAAUAUUAUUAAUAGAUGAUGUAUAAAGACCUUUAUAAGUGUUGUGAGCCUGAAGAUAUGAUUUGACUCUAAUGAGCUCUUACGACUUAAUUUAUCUAAAUUUUUUUUAUAAACAAAAAUGUGAGGGCUCAAAAUUGUAGACAGCGUAAAAUAUAAAAACUUAGGGCACUGUUAUGUAAUAUGCUGAAUGAGGGCCCACCCAAACAAGGAUCCGCCUUCGAGUUAAAAAAGUGUCUGGGCUGGUGUCUCACAUGAGAAGAAGAAAGACAAGUGUAGCCAAGGAUGACCUGCCGGGAAAUCUGAUCUGAGCGAUGAAAGCACAAGCUUAUACAUGCGCAGCGAAUUGAUGCCGGCAAGUCAUGCUUGGCUUCAUUUCACUCUCCGCCUCUCCAUGAAAGACUCUCAGACCCCCAGAAAAUCCAUGCCUAGCUCAUACCUCUAUAUAUCUUCAACCUCAUGCUCUAUCUUCCUUCGCUUCUUCUUCAUGCCAUUUUAUAGGCAGAAAAAAGUGGCAAAUUGGGAAUGCUUCUGGUCCCUUCUAUAUUCUCUUUCUGACUCACCAUUCGCAAUCCUUUAGAGCCAAGUGACUCCGAUUCCUCUGUGAUGGCAAUACAUGUUGCCUACCACCUGUUUGAUGAAACGCAUUGAUGCUUUCAAUCUCUCACAAUGACAAUUUCAAGCAAAGAUAGAUAUGAAAUUUCUCAUUUAAGAGGCAUUGAAACAUGCAGUACACUCUGGAUUUUACUAUUAAGAAUGAGAUUUUGUGAUGGAAUAACUUUGGCGUGAGCUAAGAGAGCAAAUGAUUGAAUUCACAAAGCAUUGCAUGCUUCAGAAAUCUAUCUGGAUGGUUAAAGCAUUAUUAACAUUUCUGUCAACCUUCACUGUUGCGUCUCAAAUAUUGGGAAUUGGCAUCCAAGGCAUAAUAUGCAGAGCUGUUUUGGCAGUGAUAAAGCGAUGAUUAAUAUUAUGACAUUCCUGACUCAGCUGUCACAACUCACAAGUCACAAGACAGGGCAGUUUAACGAAUGAUGCAAAUCACCUGUUAUGCGGGCACUAUAAUCAAGCUCCUUCAGAGUCUCAAAUGGGAGGAAAGGGAGCAAACUUGAGCCAAGAAUAACUACCGGCAACAUCCAGAGAUAGAAUCACGUUUUACAGAAGAUGCCGCCAAGUCAUCCUCGACUCAAAUCCACUCUCUGCCCUUCAUGCAAGGCUGGCGAGCAAAGAAAUGAGCUUCUCAUAAUUGCAUUUAAGCAUUAUUGCGAGUCCACCCUAGGGGCAACGACAAGCUAUUUCAGAGUCUGAUAUAAGAGGAAAGGGAGAAAACUCGUGACAAAGAUGGCUUCCAACCAAUGGCGGACCUACGUUUAAUUGGGAGAUGCCCACCUCAGUUUUCUAUACUGCAUCUUAAUAUAUUGGGGGAAUGACAUUUAGGUCUUGAAAGAUCAAUUUAUUGACAAUUAGGUCCUGAAAAAUAUUGCUAGAAGAUGAGUUGUAAAUAUUGAUUCAUGACAUUAUAAUUAUGGGAGACUUAGUUGCAAAUAGAGCAUUCAAAUAUUAAGGGUCGCUUGCAGUUGCAUGAAUUCUUGAGGUUUAUUGUAGUGUAUUUAAUAGGCAGUGUGGUGGAAAAAAGCAUAUUUCAAACUACACAGUUCCAUGUUACCAAUUGACUUUUGCACUCUGCAUCUCCUAGACCCGUCCUUCUUUGGAAUAAAUUUCCAUGUUGGUAUGUGUAACUUUAGGCAUUAUAGAAGCAAAUAGAAGUUGACUUCAUCCAUUUUAUCUGUAACGGUUAGUUGAUUGACUAACACAUGUUCCCUCUUUCAGGCACUGAAACGUGCAGUUCAAUCUAGACCUUAUUGUUAAGGAUGAGAUUUUGUGAUGGAACAACUUCAGCAUGAGUUUUAAUAAAUUGCAAAACGUUG